CCUACGGGCGGCAGCAGUGGGGAAUAUUGCACAAUGGGCGCAAGCCUGAUGCAGCCAUGCCGCGUGUGUGAAGAAGGCCUUCGGGUUGUAAAGCACUUUCAGCGGGGAGGAAGGCGUUAAGGUUAAUAACCUUGGCGAUUGACGUUACCCGCAGAAGAAGCACCGGCUAACUCCGUGCCAGCAGCCGCGGUAAUACGGAGGGUGCAAGCGUUAAACGGAAUUACUGGGCGUAAAGCGCACGCAGGCGGUCUGUCAAGUCGGAUGUGAAAUCCCGGGCUCAACCUGGGAACUGCAUUCGAAACUGGCAGGCUAGAGUCUUGUAGAGGGGGGUAGAAUUCCAGGUGUAGCGGUGAAAUGCGUAGAGAUCUGGAGGAAUACCGGUGGCGAAGGCGGCCCCCUGGACAAAGACUGACGCUCAGGUGCGAAAGCGUGGGGAGCAAACAGGAUUAGAUACCCCGGUAGUC
RNAcentral lists this ribosomal RNA (464 nucleotides) under uncultured Klebsiella sp. Its description in RNAcentral is "bacterial SSU rRNA". It matches the Rfam family "Bacterial small subunit ribosomal RNA", at positions 338 to 795 of the family's 1533-position model. Lineage: Bacteria; Pseudomonadati; Pseudomonadota; Gammaproteobacteria; Enterobacterales; Enterobacteriaceae. The record is from RNAcentral.